GUGACUUCGCGUGAUGUAAGUUAU
This 24-nucleotide non-coding RNA is filed under the name Arabidopsis thaliana (thale cress). The record is from RNAcentral. Lineage: Eukaryota; Viridiplantae; Streptophyta; Magnoliopsida; Brassicales; Brassicaceae.